RNAcentral lists this signal recognition particle RNA (298 nucleotides) under Saimiri boliviensis boliviensis (Bolivian squirrel monkey). RNAcentral's name for it is "Metazoan signal recognition particle RNA (ENSSBOG00000012436.1)". It matches the Rfam family "Metazoan signal recognition particle RNA". From Rfam's summary of the family: The signal recognition particle (SRP) is a universally conserved ribonucleoprotein. It is involved in the co-translational targeting of proteins to membranes. Lineage: Eukaryota; Metazoa; Chordata; Mammalia; Primates; Cebidae. The record is from RNAcentral.
GCCGGGUGCGCCGGCGCAUGCCUUUAAUCCCACCUACUCGGUAGGCUGAGGUCGGAGGAUUACCUGAGCCCAGGAGUUCUGGGCUGUAGUGCGCUAUGCCGAUCGGGUGUCCGCACUAAGUUCAGCGUUAAUAUCGUGACCUCCCGGGGGCGAGGGACCACCAGAUUGCCUAAGGAGGGGUGAACCGGCACAGGUUGGAAACGGAGCAGGUUAAAACUCCAAUGCGGAUCAGUAGUAGGAUUGUGCCUGUGACUAGCCACUGCACUCCAGCCUGGGCAACAUAGUGAGACCCAUCUCA